AAGCCAUGCUUAAAAGCAAAACCAAAACUUCUCAGGAGGCUGGGCUUCGGUCAGUUCCUCACAGCCAGUUUUGGUUUGAAUUACCCUCCUGUUACAAGGAAGCUGGAUGGAGAGGAUAUCUUCUCCUCCCUUGCCUCAAGGACUUUAAGUGACGGUUUUUCUUGACCCAUCCGUGUAGGUCCCUCUGCCAGCCAGAAGGAGUCCUGCCUUGGAGCUACUGCUUGUUGUAGUGCUCAAGGCAGACCCUACAUUUGUUUUGUUUUGUUUUGUUUGGGCUGUUUGUUGGCUUCCAGGAGGGGAUCUGAUGCAAGGGCAACUAUUGUUGUAUUUUCCUUUGCGUCUUUCCCUGAGGAGAGGUACCAAGUUCUGCUGCUGCGAGUAGCUAAGAGGCUGAGACUCUCUCCUAUCUUGAGCCGGUGUUGCAGAUGGUGAUGAGGCCGCCACGGUUGGAUCGGAUACAGACCAUGUUCCUCCUUCCGCUAAUUUUGAGCCUGGGAAUGCAGCUUCAUCAGACAGCAGCUUUAUUUACAGUGACAGCCCCUAAGGAACUGUACACAGUGGACUAUGGGAGCAAUGUGACCCUGGAGUGUCACUUUGACACUGGAGGUCAUGUGGAACUCAGAAACUUAAAGGCCAGUUUGCAGAAGAUGGAAAACUAUACAUCCUUGCAGAGUGAAAGAGCCAGCUUGCUGGAAGAGCAGCUGCCCCUGGGGAAGGCCUCCUUCCACAUCCCUCGAGUGCAGCUGACGGACGCGGGCCAGUACCGCUGCCUCAUCAUCUACGGCCUCGCCUGGGACUACAAGUACCUGACUCUGAAAGUCAAAGCUUCCUACAAGGAAAUAAACACCUAUUUACUUAGGAUCCCGGGGGUAGAUGAGGUAGAGCUCACCUGCCAGGCCGAAGGUUAUCCGUUGGCAGAAGUAUACUGGGAAAACGUCAGCGUUCCUGCCAACACCAGCCACAUCAAGACCGCUGAUGGCCUCUACCAGGUCACCAGCAUUCUGCGCCUCAAGCUGCACCCCGGCAGGAACGUCAGCUGUGUGUUCUGGAACGCUAACAUGGACGAACGUACCUCAGCCGUCAUUGAAUAUGGUGGCAAAGAACCUGAAACCUCUUCAAACUGGCUGCUUCCUGUUUUCAUCCCUUCCUUCAUCAUUGUUUUGAUAUUCGUAGCUACAAUGAUAGGCCUAAGAAAACAGCUCUUCCAAAAGCUUCCUUUUAGAAAAGACACAACAAAAAAAUCUGUUGCCGCCAUGAGGAGGGAAGUGGACAGAGCUCCUGCGGGGGAAGCAUGGAGUGGAAGCUAGGGAGAGAGCCCAGGGAGCAGUCCGGUGCCUUCCUCCUGGGACCUGAGCCCGGAGAGGAGAAUGAGUCUGAAAGAAACGCUGGAAAUGUCUGGUGCGAUGGAGAAUGAGCAAAGGUUUUGAACAGAUUUGAACCUGUGGUUUCAGGAGCUGGGGUGACCUGAUGGGACAUCCUUAAGAAGCUUCUGGACUCUGAACAAGAGAGAGGCAGCACCUAGCUACGUGUGCUCAGAGGAAGCCAGGCACCCCACCCCUCCCAGAUCCAGGCGCUCACCUCCACAGCCUGUGACUCUAAGCAAAGCACGAUAGCACUUUAGGAAAUGACCACCCUGGAUCAUAGACCCCAAUGAGUGUUCUGAGGCUCCUUCUUGCUGCCAGGCUGAAAACAAAGGGAAUUUCUGCCCCCUGCUUUUCCAGAGUGAUUUCCAGAAACAGAGAUGAGUGGAAAUUUUCAGUUGCAGAAAUGGACCCAUUGCCAAUAGUUAUUUUUAUCAGCAGUUUCUUCUUGAUUCCAGAAAAGCCUAUUGAGUCCAUGAACUCACAGAACUUUAAACAAAGUCAAGCCAUAAUUGGCGUAUCGUAUGGCUUAGUGGAAUCUGGAAAGAAUCUGAGUCAUUUUAAUUAACAGAAAGCAUUUAAGUACACAGUGGACAACUCUAAUUGUGGAGAAAGGCCAUUGAGUAUUUCUGUGAGAUCUAAAUCACAGAGCAUUUGUUUUAACCUGUAAUGGCACCAUACUAAAUGAUUUUUUUUUAAACUCCAUCUUCCCUUUUAAAAAUGCUGUUUUGUUUUAUUUUUUAACCUCAGAAGCCAAGGGCAUACAUUAAAAAAAACCAAAACGCUAAUAUGCCGUACAUGUAAAGAUUUCAGAUGGGUACCCAUAAUGGUCCAAGCCCCAAUCGAAGGCUCCUUUCCUGGCCCUCUCUCUGACUCUGAACUCCACCUUUCAGUGUCUCUGUCCCUGUCCGUGACACAGUGACACUCACGAGUCAAGACCUUCGAUGGCUGGCACUGUAGAAAUGCUGUGGGAGCCCCUUGUAUGUGUCGUCGAGGGGGAUGACGGUAACCGCAUGCUGCGACAACCGGUGAAUCCUCUUAAAUUUGGUCUGUGUGCUGCAGUCGGGAAGUUCGGAGCACUAGUUGUCCUAUGACGUACCCAGAUGUGUGCACUGUUGAGCUCAGCAGAGUCCUAGGUUCGCGGCCUAUCUCUCUCUCAGUCUGGAGCCAUGAGGAUUGGGGCUCAUGUGAUCGCUUCCCCUUAGACAGCGAGCUCCUGCAGGGCAAGGAGGGAGCAGAUUUGACUAACGCUGCAGCGAGCUGCCUCAGGCACGACUGACUCUAAGACGCCUCCUAAUACGGAAGAGAACGGCUACAUGUAACAUUCUUACUUUCUGUGACCUUAAUAUCAUUGGCUAAAAAGAAGGUAAUGGCAAUCCUUGAAAACAGAAGAACUGGAGGAGUUGUGUGUCUUUAAAAAAGAAAAAAGUACCUUUUACAAAAGAAGCAAAAAUAACAUUUGGGCGAGUUUGAGGAAUUGAGAAAGGCCGAGCAAACAGAAAUCACCGAUGAUCUCAUCAGCUCAACACAAGUAUUUUCGUUUUUGCUGUUGGCGUUUGGUCCUUGUCCAGACAUGUAUACGAUUUCAGCCAUAGUUGUGAUCGUCUGUCCUUUUUUUUUUUUUUUUUCCAAAUUUGUCAUUGUACCACGGGUUCCCACCCAUGUGGCUGACUAGUCCUCCUAAGUAUCAUUUUUGAUGAAUGCGUGAGUCACAGAUCAUAAUGAGUGGGGAUUGGGCCACUCUCCUCAUCCUCUGACCGCUAUAAGCCCAUAUUUUGACUAGCGGCCUACAGUGACAUUUAGGGUUCCUAAGGAUUAGUAUCAUUUCAGAGUAGUGUUUAGGAAUCCCUGAAAAGCCUGGGUAUUUCCAUUUCCCCCAGUGCACAGACACCUUCAUAAUGACCUCAAAUCCCUUUGGGGAUGGCUUUGAGGAAGAUCUAUAGUAUGCAGCGUUGUUGCAGGGUCCUUUCUGAGAACUGGGGAAGAAGCUAUGACUCUCAGUUGUGAAAACUCAAGUCAGAUUUCUAUUAUAUAAAUCAAGUGAUGCUUUGGUAGGCUGGCCGUCAACUUCAUUCUUAUUAGGGCCAACCACCACUGAAGAUUCCCUGCAAGUAGAGAAUUCUGAUUACUAUUCUGGGAUCAUAUCCUCUCCGCUGAAAGCAGGAAUCCCGUCUCAGGGGCAGCAUCUCCUCCCAGCACCCUUGGCAUGCAGAAAACAGCCACCUGGAAGUGUCCACGGUGGCUGGGGCUCCCUCACUAAUGCAUUUCUCAAUGCUUUGGUGAAGAGAAUAUUCCUUGGGCCCUUUGAAGGUGAGGAAAGAUGCACAGGUUACAUAUGAUAAAUUACUCCAUUAUCCCUAACUCCUUAAGCCUUUAGGAUCCUUCCUGUACAUUAUUCCACAGAAAUUCUAUUAACUCAAUGUCACUGUUGAACACAGGUUUCAGCCAAACAACUAAAUAAACAGACCACUCCCA
Mustela lutreola (European mink) is the source of this 3836-nucleotide RNA transcript. It is a transcript of the gene named programmed cell death 1 ligand 2, with no coding region annotated. The record is from RefSeq and is a predicted model, not a curated record. Lineage: Eukaryota; Metazoa; Chordata; Mammalia; Carnivora; Mustelidae. The transcript is spliced from 8 exons.